Molecule: non-coding RNA, 72 nt
Organism: Ictidomys tridecemlineatus (thirteen-lined ground squirrel)
Lineage: Eukaryota; Metazoa; Chordata; Mammalia; Rodentia; Sciuridae
Source: Rfam
UGGGGUGUAGCUCAGAGGUAGAGUGCAUACUUAGAAAGUAUGAAGUCCUGGGUUCAGUUCUCACCACCACAA